GUCCUGAGCCUAGUACGGCGAGUGAGCGGCAAAAGCUCAAAUUUGAAAUCUAGCACCUUCGGUGUUCGAGUUGUAAUUUGAAGAUGGUAACCUUGGGUUUGGCUCUUGUCUAUGUUCCUUGGAACAGGACGUCAUAGAGGGUGAGAAUCCCGUCUGAUGAGAUGCCCAUUCCUAUGUAAGGUGCUAUCGAAGAGUCGAGUUGUUUGGGAAUGCAGCUCUAAGUGGGUGGUAAAUUCCAUCUAAAGCUAAAUAUUGGCGAGAGACCGAUAGCGAACAAGUACAGUGAUGGAAAGAUGAAAAGAACUUUGAAAAGAGAGUGAAAAAGUACGUGAAAUUGUUGAAAGGGAAGGGCAUUAGAUCAGACUUGGUGUUUUACGAUUAUCUUCUCUUCUUGAGUUGUGCACUCGUAUUUCACUGGGCCAGCAUCGAUUCGGAUGGCAAGAUAAUGGCAGUUGAAUGUGGCUUCACUUCGGUGGAGUGUUAUAGCUUCUGCUGAUAUUGCCUGUCUGGAUCGAGGGCUGCGUCUUUUGACUAGGAUGCUGGCGUAAUGAUCUAAUGCCGCCCGUCUUGAAACACCGGGACCAAA
RNAcentral lists this ribosomal RNA (586 nucleotides) under Hansenula anomala. Its description in RNAcentral is "eukaryotic LSU rRNA". It matches the Rfam family "Eukaryotic large subunit ribosomal RNA", at positions 71 to 670 of the family's 3401-position model. Lineage: Eukaryota; Fungi; Ascomycota; Saccharomycetes; Phaffomycetales; Wickerhamomycetaceae. The record is from RNAcentral.